UUCCCGAUAGCUCAAUGGGUAGAGCGCCCGGCUGUUAACCGGGAGGUUCUUGGUUCGAGACCAAGUCGGGGAGCCA
RNAcentral lists this transfer RNA (76 nucleotides) under Rhizobacter gummiphilus. RNAcentral's name for it is "tRNA-Asn". It matches the Rfam family "tRNA". Rfam says of the family: Transfer RNA (tRNA) molecules are approximately 80 nucleotides in length. Their secondary structure includes four short double-helical elements and three loops (D, anti-codon, and T loops). Lineage: Bacteria; Pseudomonadati; Pseudomonadota; Betaproteobacteria; Burkholderiales; Sphaerotilaceae. The record is from RNAcentral.